RNAcentral lists this ribosomal RNA (429 nucleotides) under Bacillota bacterium. RNAcentral's name for it is "Firmicutes bacterium partial 16S ribosomal RNA". It matches the Rfam family "Bacterial small subunit ribosomal RNA", at positions 355 to 776 of the family's 1533-position model. Lineage: Bacteria; Bacillati; Bacillota. The record is from RNAcentral.
UGGGGAAUUUUGGACAAUGGGGGCAAACCUGAUCCAGCAAUGCCGCGUGUGUGAAGAAGGCCUUCGGGUUGUAAAGCACUUUUGUCCGGGAAGAAAUCGCACCUGAUAAUACCGGGUGUGGAUGACGGUACCGGAAGAAUAAGGACCGGCUAACUACGUGCCAGCAGCCGUGGUAAUACGUAGGGUCCAAGCGUUAAUCGGAAUUACUGGGCGUAAAGCGUGCGCAGGCGGUUGUGCAAGACCGAUGUGAAAUCCCCGGGCUUAACCUGGGAAUUGCAUUGGUGACUGCACGGCUAGAGUGUGUCAGAGGGGGGUAGAAUUCCACGUGUAGCAGUGAAAUGCGUAGAGAUGUGGAGGAAUACCGAUGGCGAAGGCAGCCCCCUGGGAUAACACUGACGCUCAUGCACGAAAGCGUGGGGAGCAAACAGG